Molecule: unclassified non-coding RNA, 1940 nt
Filed under: Homarus americanus (American lobster)
Lineage: Eukaryota; Metazoa; Arthropoda; Malacostraca; Decapoda; Nephropidae
Description: longitudinals lacking protein-like, transcript variant X31
Source: RNAcentral
GUUGGGAGAUCAGCAAGCGUGGGUGCCUUCAUGCGCAUGCGCGACCAAGAUGGCGACGUGAAAGAAGACGCUGCAGACCCUCGCUGUUUCGCGGUGAUUUCUCCUCCGAGCCUGGAGCAAGAUGGAGGACGGACUUCUCUCAUUAAAGUGGAACAACCACAAGUCCACUUUUUUCCAUAUUCUAAGUGAAGUUCGGGGAAAACAUACGUACACUGAUGCAACCUUAGCUUGUGAAGGAAAGUUUUUCCCAGUGCACAAACUUGUGAUGUCAACAUGUAGUGAUUACUUUGCUGAAAUAUUUGAAAAGACUCCAUGUAAAAAUCCAGUAGUUGUGCUCAAAGACAUAAAAAAGUCAGAUUUAGAGGCCUUGUUAGACUAUAUGUACAUAGGUGAAGUGGACGUGAGGCAGAGUGAGCUAGCUGGACUCAUCAAAGCUGCCGAGUGUUUAAGAAUUAAAGGCCUCGCUGUCCCAGAUGAGGAUCCUACUAAAGCCCAGAAAAAAGGGCCCAGUAUUGUACCUGAGAGAAGGGAGGAUAGUCCUCCCGCGAAACGAAAAAGACGGGAAUCUGGAGGAGACCGUGGAAGGGCCCCUUCUCCCCCCAUCCCAAGGGGGUCCUCCCAGUCUUCCCACCCCCCUUCCACAUCAUCAGUGCCUAGUCAAGCACCCUCUCAACUGUCAAGUGUACCUGAGUCACAUGUGCCAUCACAAUCUAUGCCCCCACCACCUAGUAUAGCCCAGGAAGCGCGACAUAUAGAGAGUGGGCGUGGUAGACAAGACACUCACUCACAACAGUCACCACAACAACCACACCCAUCUCAAAUAUCAUCUUUACGACCGUCUCCGGAUCCUUCGUCCCUUCGGUCUCCUCCCAGUGGUGGACACGAUUCCUCUCACCCACCUACGGCGUCGCCCAGAUCAUCUGACCCAUCCCUCCUUCCAGUUCAAAUGAUUAAAGUUGAAGUAGAUGAUGCAGAUAAUCCGGGAGCAAAAGAUUCUCAUGGGGAUAGAGAAGAUGGGAGUGAGAUGGAUGGGGAUGAAGAGGAGACUAGUAAUGAUUUCUCUGAAUACCAAAGUCAUGGUGGUGAAAUAGAAAAGGAGGAACAUGACCAGAUGGACUCUUAUGGUGCUGAACAAAUACCUGGGCCUUCAGGCCUACAAGGGGCUCCUCCAGUAUUAAGCUGGGGAGAUGAGGGGGAAGCUGGUUUCCCCCACAACCUCUUUGGUGGAGAUGAUCCAGCAGCUCAACAAGCGUUGCAAGGCCCAGACCUGGCGCGGCGGGCGUGGGAAACUCUCUCGGAAAGCCUUGUCGCUCGUUUGACCAGCUCUGCACCUCCACCACGGCCACCCCACCGACUGGGGGGGUCCCAACUCCAUAGUGGGGGGACUCCAAUCACUUCUGAUCGUCCCCACUUGUGCCCUCUGUGUCCAUACCGUGCCACCACACGUGAUAGCCUAGCUAGACAUAUCCGUACUCACACUGGUGAAAGACCUUUCAAGUGCUCAUAUUGUCCCUACAGAGCGAUACAAAAAUCGGAUGUAGAUAAACAUAUCCGACGUCGACACAAGGAUGCCGUGUCAAAUUGGCCUGGAGUUACUCCUGCUUGUGUGUCUAAUGUUCUUUCUAAUGUAUCAAAUCUCACAUACACCCAACCAACCAACACUGCCUGGCAAAGUACACAUGUCCGCCAGAGUGCAACUUCCAGUGUCUUGACUGAACCCACAUCAGCAUAUACCAGUCCACCUAAUAAUGACAUCUAGUUGUCAGCCUUGCAGACUUGUGGAGAAAUGUAUCCUGAUACCGACCUAACAUUCAGGGUGGUGGUGUUGGCAGCGGUGGUGGUACCCUAGGUGAUGUUGGCAGGCAUACCGCAGGGGUUCGUUGGGCUAUGGUACUUCAAGAAGAGGCAGCUAAGAAUGACUUGGCAACUUCCGAAAAGCC